RNAcentral lists this small RNA (373 nucleotides) under Histoplasma capsulatum var. duboisii H88. RNAcentral's name for it is "Histoplasma capsulatum H88 hypothetical RNA". Lineage: Eukaryota; Fungi; Ascomycota; Eurotiomycetes; Onygenales; Ajellomycetaceae. The record is from RNAcentral.
UCUGAGCCGGAGGAUACCCAUUUGUGGCGGCUAGAAUGAGCGCCUUGAUCGAAGUCUCCACAAUGCCGGUCAUUCAAUCUAUCACAUCGGAUUCUUGAGCGCUGCGGGGUGGACCCUGUAUGAUACUGUAGCAUGCCUUGGGACAAAGAUCUCUUGUAGGUAGUGACGGUUGUAGUCGUCCCCACGGAUCCAUUUGACUUGUUUGGGUGUUCCGGUGCUUUCAGGCUUUGACGACCCAAUGUCUCGGAUAGGAACCCGGGAGGUUUUCUUCUGUUGAUGGCUAUGGAUGCUCAGUCACAUUCAGCCAUUUCACAACCACCAAAAAUUUUGACUGUCUGGAACCAAGUGCAAACGGAAAGCUGAAGUUGUUGAA